This 768-nucleotide long non-coding RNA is filed under the name Glycine max (soybean). RNAcentral describes it as "long non-coding RNA (GMAX_LNC003458)". Lineage: Eukaryota; Viridiplantae; Streptophyta; Magnoliopsida; Fabales; Fabaceae. The record is from RNAcentral.
AGCGUUAGAUUGGGGGCAUUUCAAAAGAAAAAUGGAGCUUGACACAUGACCAAGGUGGUCGUAGGUAUGGCUAUAUGACAACCAAUUUGUCAGAGACAAUUAAUAAGAUCUUCAAAGGUGCACAAAAUAUGCCCGUGAUUGCUUUGGUUAAGGUCACACACGAUAUAUUGGUUCAGUAUUUUGUGCGAAGAGGUUUGCAAGCCUAAGCAGAAUACAUGCCAGUUAACACUACUGUAAGAGGUUGCUAGAUGCCCUUGAAAAAAAUCGCAUUGAAGCUUAUGCUUAUCACGUUAAAAUAGAAGGACAAAAUUUGAUGUUGAAGAGCCAUUCAAUCAUACCACUCGACAGGGAAGAAAAACAUGGUUUGUUAUAUUGAACGAACAUUAUUGUGAGUAUGGAGCUUUUCAAGCCUACAAAUAUCAUUACUCCCACCUCAUCGCAGUGUGAGCCCAUCUCCACAUCAAUCCAUACCAUUAAGUAGAUAAAGUAUACAAAGUCUAAAACAUCAUUCAAGUCUGGGCAACUGGAAUCCCCUUGGCUGCAAGGAAACCAUCCUUGAAAGGAGUGAACCUAUUAUUGUUCUGGAUGAAUCCAAAAUAUGUGAAAAAGGUCAACCAAAGUCUACACACAUAAGUAAUGAAAUGGAUUAAUAUUGGACAAAAUCUCAACGUACACAAACAUGUAACCAAUGCAGACAUCAAGGCCAAAACAAGACUAAUUGUCCACAUAAUUGACAUCAAUUUUUCCAUUAUAAUUUUAAUGCAUUUU